This 433-nucleotide ribosomal RNA is filed under the name uncultured bacterium. Its description in RNAcentral is "partial 16S ribosomal RNA". It matches the Rfam family "Bacterial small subunit ribosomal RNA", at positions 29 to 507 of the family's 1533-position model. The record is from RNAcentral.
AACGAACGCUGGCGGCAUGCCUAACACAUGCAAGUCGAACGAGACCUUCGGGUCUAGUGGCGCACGGGUUCGUAACGCGUGGGAACCUGCCCUUAGGUUCGGAAUAACUCCCCGAAAGGGGUGCUAAUACCGGAUAAUGUCUUCGGACCAAAGAUUUAUCGCCUUUGGAUGUGCCCGCGUUGGAUUAGCUAGUUGGUAGGGUAAAAGCCUACCAAGGCGACGAUCCAUAGCUGGUCUGAGAGGAUGAUCAGCCACACUGGGACUGAGACACGGCCCAGACUCCUACGGGAGGCAGCAGUGGGGAAUAUUGGACAAUGGGCGAAAGCAUGAUCCAGCAAUGCCGCGUGAGUGAUGAAGGCAUUAGGGUUGUAAAGCGCUUUUACCCGGGAUGAUAAUGACAGUACCGGGAGAAUAAGCUCCGGCUAACUCCGUG